CCUACGGGAGGCUGCAGUGGGGAAUAUUGCACAAUGGGGGAAACCCUGAUGCAGCGACGCCGCGUGAGUGAAGAAGUACUUCGGUAUGUAAAGCUCUAUCAGCAGGGAAGAAAUAGCGACCUUUGGGUCGCCAGACGGUACCUGAUUAAGAAGCCCCGGCUAAAUACGUGCCAGCAGCCGCGGUAUUACGUAGGGGGCAAGCGUUAUCCGGAUUUACUGGGUGUAAAGGGAGCGUAGACGGGGGCGCAAGUCUGAAGUGAAAUGGCGGGGCUGAACCCCGGAACUGCUGUGGAAACUGUGCGGCUAGAGUGCGGGAGAGGUAAGUGGAAUUCCUAGUGUAGCGGUGAAAUGCGUAGAUAUUAGGAGGAACACCGGUGGCGAAGGCGGCUUACUGGACUGGAACUGACGUUGAGGCUCGAAAGCGUGGGGAGCGAACAGGAUUAGAUACCCUUGUAGUC
RNAcentral lists this ribosomal RNA (458 nucleotides) under uncultured bacterium. RNAcentral's name for it is "partial 16S ribosomal RNA". It matches the Rfam family "Bacterial small subunit ribosomal RNA", at positions 338 to 795 of the family's 1533-position model. The record is from RNAcentral.